GAUCGAAAAACAAUAAUACAUAGUAUAAAAGAAAAUAAAAAUAUUAGGUCAUCUAAUGAACAAUGCGGUCGCUUUAAACGUGUUGUUAAUAUCUAAGUCAAAGAGCGAGUCAACUUCAACUGUCUCUUCCAACUUCCUAUUCCUGGUUUACGUGAUUAUUAUGGUUUGCACGAGUUUUGAUAGGUUUAGUUCAAUGGUAGGUUUUUUUUUCUCUUUUCCAAAGUUUAAGGGAGAGCGAUAAAGCAACAUUCUUGAGUUCAUUUCAAAUUCGAGGAAUAAGUUUCGGGCAACGGAAAAUCUAAAAGUUGCACGUUAAUAGCACUCGCCCAGAAGAGAAAGCUCUUAUUAUCAAGUUACCGUAAUUUGAGGACAUUUUGACAAACAUUGAUGAAAAUAACUCUAUAGGACUUGUCAUACCCUUAAGAGUACAACAAAAUGUUGUUGAUGGUCAACUUACUCAGAGAGGUUCGAAAUAAUCAAUUGCAAGCCGUAGUGAGUUUCUCAUAAAUUUCGUGAGCCGCUCAAGCAACUAAUGAUGUGAUUCCAGGUACCGCCCAAGAGUUUUGCCAUAAAUCUUCUGAAUGAAAAAAAAAAAAACGCUUGCUUUAUUUAGAAGAAAAAUUUUUCUACUCAACAUUGUCUGACUGGAUAAAAAGAAGAGAAAGGCCUUCGUAUAAACCAUUGGAAAUGGUAUUAUGCAACCUAGAGAUAUACUGUACAAGGCUGCGUAUUUUACUAUACAACGAUGUGUGCUUUAAAGUACAUGUCUUCUCUUUUCUUUUUUUUUUUUUUUCUUUCUCUUAUAAUGCACUAUUCUUUAUUCAUUCUUAAGUGAAUGGCAACACGGACAACAUAUCAAGAACAAUGUUAUCAGAAGAUGAGAGGGAAUAGUGGCUAUCUUCGAUUUUUCAAGAGAAGUAUUUUUCUUUCGCCUAAAAAAUGUUCUGGGUCGGUGAGAGUUCAGCAAAUUAUGAUCGUUUAAAUUUCAGGGCUGUGGACGACCCUUGGCCGUAGCUAUAGCGAGUUCGCAGUCGGUUGGGCGUACAUCCUACUAGUACUAUUUUUCCUUGCUACUUUAUAACCAUCACAGCGCUAUAGUUCUAGUACACAUCUCCUGAAUUAUGGGUCAAGUUAUAUUUAAAAAAGGAUAUCUUAGUAUAUACAAGCAUUACAGGAGACUUCAACAAUUUCUUAAAACCUUUUCAUCUCCAAUAUCUUACCAAUUAUGUCAAUAACUCUGUUGAAAUUUCACCAAAAAAUAGGGAGAACCAUAUCCCUGUAUAACUAUGUUGAAAGGAAAUAAAACCUCGAAUAAAAAGUUUGACCAUUUACUGUCUAAGGUAAACGUCUACGAAAUGGUACAAUUGUUGUUGAGUUGUCAGCAUGUUUUCGGAACAUGAGGACAUUCUUCUGAACAACUCAUACGCAUUUGCAAGCCCAAUAAUAGGAAGUCCAUUAGAGGUAGAUAAAGCUAUUUUUCAACUUCCUGUCCCAGCUUAUGAACGAAUGAGCUAAAACAACGCGGAAUCUCAUAAUCAAUUUGUUCUUCUAGAUCUUGAAAUCGGAAUUAAUAACUCUACGGUCGUUGAUGUAAUUGAUUUGUGUAAUCAAUGGGCUGCAAAAUGAGUUUAGAUUGAUUCAGACUGCGAACCUCUAACAUAAGUCAGCUUAUUGUCGUUGGGUUAUGCACGUAUGUAAAUUUAAAUUUAAUUUUCAAAAAGUUUAACUCUUAUUAGAGGAUGCGGCUAUGUCCUAACUAUUUGUUGUACAUAUAUGUAUGUAUAUAUAUAUAUAUAACUUGCUUCCAAAAAAAAAAAAA
Molecule: long non-coding RNA, 1819 nt
Organism: Glossina fuscipes
Lineage: Eukaryota; Metazoa; Arthropoda; Insecta; Diptera; Glossinidae
Exons: 2
Source: RefSeq, a predicted model, not a curated record